Long non-coding RNA from Nymphaea colorata (pocket water lily), 2011 nucleotides. RefSeq lists it as uncharacterized. The record is from RefSeq and is a predicted model, not a curated record. The transcript is spliced from 3 exons. Lineage: Eukaryota; Viridiplantae; Streptophyta; Magnoliopsida; Nymphaeales; Nymphaeaceae.
GUUAAAUUUGGAAACCAAAAAAAAGCAUCGCAGCGGUAAUCUCCUUUGAUAAAUACUUUCAUCUCUUUCUUUUCUCAUUUCGACGUCAAUUUCUCUCUCACCUCUCGAUCUUUCGAGGCCUCUCUCAUCUCUCGAUUCUGCGAGAGGUACAGCUGUUUAGGGUGGCUCCGGCAAGCAACGGCGCACCGGAGCAUCGCCGACGACCACCCACCAUGAGAGGCGAACAGAGGGAGAGGAGACAGAAAAAGAGGAAAAGAUUCAAAAGAUCAGUUUAUGGGCAAUAUCAGAAUUUGACAGCUGGUUCACUCUUUUAUGUGAUAUUGAAGUUCAGACUUGUGUGUGGAUCCAACAGUUAAGUGCCUCUGUAUCCAUUGUAAGAAUUUUUUUGCUUUCUUAUUAUUGCUUGCUAGCUAGUAAUCUGGUGAUGAAGCCCAUCGAUGUUGUUAAAUGGGAUGAGGCGAAGGGAAGCGUUGAGCUUGUCAAGUGAGGUGGAAUGAAGCGUAAGCUUGACACAAAUUCAUAAAGUAUGUAUAUUUAUCACAAUACCUUCUAUGUGCACAUACGGAUAUGAUUUCCAAGUCUUCAUAUCUUGGUAAGACAAGCCCACAUUUCUGGACGUAGAGAUCCCAUUUAUAUUUUUUAUUUAAUUCAAAUUUAAUGUUUUAAAGACCAACAAUGUUUUUUAAAUUUGGGAGCAAAAUAAUAAACUUUUUUUGGGCAUCGAUCGCAAGCACCGUUUCAGAUGGUUGUACGAGCCUUAUGCCUCGUUCUAGAGAGAGGCUAGAACAAGAGAAGACACAUGAGUAUGGCAGUAAAACAGAAAAACACAGACACUCACCUGAGCGUUAAUGUGUAACUUUUUCUUCAAAUUAUGACAUUUAACUUUGUUAAACUAGACGGAUGAAAAUACGUUCUUUUUCUUUUCCAUGACCAGUUCGUUUUUUUUAUCGUUAAAAUGACAAUAACUAAAAUAUAAAUUUUCACGUUUCUUGCUAACUAUGCCAUAAGAAUUGUGAUGUGGAAAGUAUUAGAAAGUUACUAGCUUUUUAUCGCAUGUAACAAAGGAUGAUUGAUUAAAAUUAAUACUAACGAAAAAUGCAACUUUACUUUUACAGGUGAAUUAUUUGAAACCAUGUUUAAAUGCCUAGCUAAUUGGUGUGUUCAACAAUGCGCUGAUCUAUUUGCAUCAACUGCCCUAAUAAAAAAUGAAAAAGAAAUCAGCCUGCCUUCUUUUUUACUGCCACUUUUGCCAAGGAUUUGCCUCGAAAAAGAAAUGCCCAAAUUUUAAACCGGCAAUAAAAACACAUGCAGUCCAAACGCUUGUUAUAUAUCACCUUUUCCUGUAGUCCUCCUUUGUUUUAAUCUUUAUUUCUUAUUACCACUGAAGUAUUUUAGUGAGGGACAAGUGCAGUUGUCCAAAGUCAACAGAAAUUUGCUGGACUCUUUCAGAAAUUUUUAUAUCCCAAGAGGCACUUAUAUAUAUGAAUAAAAACAAAAUUUUGGCAUGUAAGAAAAAAAAAAAGAAAUAUUGAGAGACUCGUGCCACCAACCCAAAGGACCCCAAAGGACCCAAGGCAGCAAACUUACUGGAUGAUGUAUAUGUAUUGUAUUAAAUAAAAUAUUGUGCCAGUUAAAAAAAAAAAGGUUAACCACAAUUUUCUUUUUUUAACUGCAAUUAAGGGAGGGAUGGUCGCUUCGUCUCCCAUUUAGGAAGUCACGGAUACGUGGCGAAACGCUUUCCCACGUGGCCAGGGCUUUCCAUUUCGUGACUUUCUUUGUUCGAAGUGGUUUCCAAAUGUUAACACAGACGCCCUUUCUGUCGUUCUACUGUGCCAUCAACCUCCGUUUCGCCGUUCUCCGGUUCGCCGUUCUCCGGUCCUCCAGAAGCGACCGUCCAGCAAGGUUUCGCUUCAAGGAUUCGCAGCUUGCAGGCCUUGGUUUUAGCUUUUUUCUUACCUCGUUGGUACUGUUCCUCAAAAUUUUUCUGCGCUCCCUCGUCUCACAUUGAACU